This 434-nucleotide ribosomal RNA is filed under the name uncultured bacterium. Its description in RNAcentral is "partial 16S ribosomal RNA". It matches the Rfam family "Bacterial small subunit ribosomal RNA", at positions 29 to 507 of the family's 1533-position model. The record is from RNAcentral.
AGCGAACGCUGGCGGCAGGCCUAACACAUGCAAGUCGAACGAACCUUUCGGGGUUAGUGGCGGACGGGUGAGUAACACGUGGGAACGUGCCUUUAGGUUCGGAAUAACUCAGGGAAACUUGUGCUAAUACCGAAUGUGCCCUUCGGGGGAAAGAUUUAUCGCCUUUAGAGCGGCCCGCGUCUGAUUAGCUAGUUGGUUGAGGUAAUGGCUCACCAAGGCGACGAUCAGUAGCUGGUCUGAGAGGAUGAUCAGCCACAUUGGGACUGAGACACGGCCCAAACUCCUACGGGAGGCAGCAGUGGGGAAUCUUGCGCAAUUGGCGAAAGCCUGACGCAGCCAUGCCGCGUGAAUGAUGAAGGUCUUAGGAUUGUAAAAUUCUUUCACCGGGGACGAUAAUGACGGUACCCGGAGAAGAAGCCCCGGCUAACUUCGUG